This 252-nucleotide ribosomal RNA is filed under the name uncultured bacterium. RNAcentral describes it as "partial 16S ribosomal RNA". It matches the Rfam family "Bacterial small subunit ribosomal RNA", at positions 524 to 773 of the family's 1533-position model. The record is from RNAcentral.
UACGUAGGGACCAAGCGUUGUUCGGAUUUACUGGGCGUAAAGGGCGCGUAGGCGGCGUGGUAAGUCACUUGUGAAAUCUCUGAGCUUAACUCAGAACGGCCAAGUGAUACUGCUGUGCUAGAGUGCAGAAGGGGCAAUCGGAAUUCUUGGUGUAGCGGUGAAAUGCGUAGAGAUCGGGUGGAACACCAGGGGCGAAGGCGGCUGCCUGGCCCUGACCCUGACGCUGAGGCGCGAGAGCGUGGGGGAGCAAAC